UUUAAAAAUAAUUAAUUUAUUUAUUUAUAAUAAAAAUAAUUUUAAUAGAAAUUUUUAAGUAAUGUUUAAUGAAUAAAUAAAUUAAAUGAUAAAGAAUUAUAGUAUUGAAUAAAAAAUUUGAAAUAUUAUGAAAAAUUUUAAUUUGAAAAUAAGAUUUUAUUAAUCGUAUUUUGUGUUUCAAAGUAAAUUAAUUAAAAAAUUUUUAAUAAAUUUUUUUCGAAUAUAUAAGAUUUAAUAAAUUAAAAAUUUUAAUGUUUUAUAAUUAUAUUAAAUAAUUUAUUAGAAAUAAAAAGUUAAUCGUUUAUAUAAUUAUCUAAUUUUUUAAGAAAUAAUUUUAAAUUAUUUGAAAAAAUCUUUAAAUUAAAUUAUAAAUUUAUAGAAUUUUUUACAAGUAUAUAAUAAGGGAUAAGCUUUAUUAUAAAUUUUUAAAAAUAUUAUUAAAUAAAAAUAAUAUAAAUUUAAAAUUAGUUUAUAUUGAUAAAAAUGUUAUAAUUUAUUUUUGAAAUUUUUAAUAUUUAGUAAUAUUUUAAUUUUUUUAUUAAAAAAUAAAAUUUAAUUUAAUUUUUUUAAGUAUAAUGAUUUAAUUAGUAAUUAUAAUUAAUUAAAUAUAAAAUUUUUAAUUAAAUUAAAAUAAAAAGAAUUCGGCAAAUAUAAUUUUCACUUGUUUAUCAAAAACAUGUCUUUUUGAAUUAAUGAAAAGUUUGACCUGCCCGGUGAUUUUUUUUAACGGCCGCGGUACAUUGACCGUGCGAAGGUAGCAUAAUCAUUUGUCUUUUAAUUGGAGGCUUGCAUGAAUGGUUGGAUGAGAAAUUAACUAUUUUUAUUUUAAUAAAAAUGAAUUUUAAUUUUUAGUAAAAAUGCUAAAAUAUAAAAUUUAGACGAGAAGACCCUAUAAAUCUUUAUUUUAAUUAAUAAUUAGAUUUUUUAGAAUAGCAAAAUUAAAUUAUUAUUUAAAAUUUUAUUGGGGUGAUAAUGAAAUUUAUUUAACUUUUAUUUAUUUUUACAAUUAUAUUUGUUUUAAUGAUCCAUUAUUAAUGAUUAAAAAAUUAAGUUACUUUAGGGAUAACAGCGUAAUUAUUUUUGAGAGUUCUUAUCGAUAAAAUAGAUUGCGACCUCGAUGUUGAAUUAAGAGUAAUUUUAGAUGCAGCAGUUUAAAGUUUAAGUCUGUUCGACUUUUAAAUUCUUACAUGAUUUGAGUUCAGACCGGCGUGAGCCAGGUUGGUUUCUAUCUGUUUUAAAAUUUUAUUUGUUAGUACGAAAGGACCAUGAAUAAAAAAAAUUUUUUAUUAAAAGAAGAAUAAUAAAUUUAUAUAA
This 1314-nucleotide ribosomal RNA is filed under the name Culicoides arakawae. RNAcentral describes it as "large subunit rRNA". The stretch from base 1062 to 1220 matches the Rfam family "Archaeal large subunit ribosomal RNA", at positions 2542 to 2701 of the family's 2987-position model. The record is from RNAcentral. Lineage: Eukaryota; Metazoa; Arthropoda; Insecta; Diptera; Ceratopogonidae.